UGAGGAAUAUUGGACAAUGGGCGCAAGCCUGAUCCAGCCAUGCCGCGUGCAGGAAGAAGCAUCUAUGGUGUGUAAACUGCUUUUGUACGGGAAGAAACACUCCUACGUGUAGGAGCUUGACGGUACCGUAAGAAUAAGGAUCGGCUAACUCCGUGCCAGCAGCCGCGGUAAUACGGAGGAUCCAAGCGUUAUCCGGAAUCAUUGGGUUUAAAGGGCGCGUAGGCGGAUUAGUAAGUCAGUGGUGAAAGCCCAUCGCUCAACGAUGGAACGGCCAUUGAUACUGCUAGACUUGAAUUAUUAGGAAGUAACUAGAAUAUGUAGUGUAGCGGUGAAAUGCUUAGAUAUUACAUGGAAUACCAAUUGCGAAGGCAGGUUACUACUUGUGGAUUGACGCUGAUGGACGAAAGCGUGGGGAGCGAACA
RNAcentral lists this ribosomal RNA (422 nucleotides) under uncultured bacterium. RNAcentral describes it as "bacterial SSU rRNA". It matches the Rfam family "Bacterial small subunit ribosomal RNA", at positions 355 to 774 of the family's 1533-position model. The record is from RNAcentral.